CUCAAGACUUCAAAUUUCAGUCUCGGCUUCCAGCGUGUGGGCGCGAUCGCCGAAGCCCUGCGCCCAACCGCGUCUCCGCGGGGCCGUACGGAUGGCUGGCCGGGAUCCGAGCGCAGCCCCGGCGCUCUGGAGCUGCGGCGCGCGGCCCCCGCGGGCGUGCCCGCUCUGACUCAGCUCUUCCGGCCGCCGCCAGCCGCCGUCCGCUUCCCUGCGUGUGCCGACGCCGGGCGUCACUGCUCACCAGUGCGGGAGCCGCCGGCCGCCGGGCCCUGUCUUCGCGCGCUGCGUUUCUGCCCUGCGGUGACUCAGCCGCUUCCGCCCCGGGCCGCGCGCUGAGCCGCCGCCGCCGCCCCCGCGACGCGCCUUCUUCCGCCCUUAGGUGCGGGCCUGCAAGGUCCUGACCGCUCGUUUAAGCGUCCCUGUGCGGUGCUUGGGCCCUGCAAGGUCCUUCUCCGUAAGUAGAGGAGUUGAGGCCUCAGCUCAGGAAUAUUCCUCAGCCCGCAGUGCAGAGAGUGGGUAAUCUUGACCCGGGCAAUUGAGGUCUAGGUCUUCAGAGCCGGACGACCUAUGUUGGAAGUUCAGCACUGCCACUUGCAUGGCGUGUGACCCCCAGAGAGUCACUUCAUCUAGCCAAGUCUCACUUCGCACGUGGGCGAAAUGGGGGUUUGCUUUCCUUUGAGUUGACUUCAUUCUCAGGCAGGCUUUCCCUAUGUGGGAAAAAAGAUGGCCACCAGCAGCUCCAGGUUACAUUCUACCAAUUUAGUAACCCUAGCAGAAAGCAUCUCUAUCAUUCUCAGAUGAAGAAGGAAACAAGAAGGCAGCUGUCUGCAAAUCAGGAAGAAAAUCCUCACCAGGAGCCAAAUCAGCAGGCACCUUGGUCUUGGACUUCCCAGCUUCCAAAACCGUGAGAAAUAAACAUCUGUUGUUUAAGCCACCUAGUCUAGGUAUUUUGUUAUGGUAACCUGAGCUGACUAGGACAAUGACUAAGAAAACUACUAGAGAAAAUUAGUAAUAGCCUUUGUUGUAUACUCUCUAAAAGAUGUAGAGAAAACAUCUAUGCUUUGAGAGGGAAACCUCUCAAAGGUCAUCAAUUUCUAGUUUCCAAACCCAAUGAUUCUCAUUCAGUUUCCAUUCUUCUUUGCCAUGUUGACUGUCCUUGCCUUCUUUUUGUUUUUUUAAGUUUGUUUAUUUAUUUAUUUUGAGAUAGAGGGAGCACAAGCAGGGGAGGGGCAGAGAGAGGGAGACAGAGAAUCCCAAGCGAGCUCCACGCUGUCAGUGCUGAGCCCAACUCAGGGCUCAAUUUCACUGACCACAAGAUCAUGACCCGAGCCAAAAUCAAGAGUCAGUUGCUUAACGGAGUCACUCAGGUGCCCCAUCUGUCCUUGCCUUCUUGAAUCUCUUCUACUUUGGCCUCUGUGACUCCCCCCAUCCAUGGAUUCUCCUUUUACUUUUCUGACAGCUCUCUCUGUAUCCUUCAGUCUUUUCUUUUCUCCACUUGCCCUAUACAGAUCUCUGAGAUUUGUUCUUGGACAUCCUAUCCUCUUGCUCUACCCACUUUGCUGAAUAAUUUUAUUUACUCCCACAAUUUUCUGUCUCACUCAUAGGCUGUUCCUACGUAUCAUUUCCUCAUUUAUUAUUCAUAGCCUUAAAGUUUGCUGAGCUUUAGGUCCUGAUUUUUACUGUCCUGGUGAAUACCUCCACCUGCAUAAGAUGCAAAGACUAUAAAUAUGUCCCAAACUGAACUUCUCCUUACCCUAAUCUAGUCUCAAAACACUUUUUUAGUUACCAGUACCUCUAAUACUGGCAAUCCACACUCUCUUCCAGGCUCUAGCUCAGUUUUAUAGGCUUCCUUCACCAACACUGCUUCUCCUCUACCCCAUUCCAUUCUCACUUUCUUGUCUAAAUCCUGCCUUGUCCAAUAUUCAUUUUCCUCCUUUUGCUUUGUUGACUACUGCUUUCCAAGAACAUGCCAUACAUUUUUAUGCUUCCAUGAGUUGCUUAUUGUUUCCUUCUCCUUGGAACGCUGUUUCCCCACUGUUACCUAUCUAAAUCCUACUCAUCUUUCAAAAUCCAAUUCAAAUGCUAAUUCUUCUAUGGAGCCUCCUGACACACCUUGUCAAAACCAAGCAUUCACCUCUUUGGGCUCCCACAGAACCACCAAAACAAGUACUAUAAUCCUUUUGGAGUUAUUGUGAGUUACGUAUUUUCUUUUCUCUCCUGGUAGAGUGUGAUUUUCUUGAGGGAAGGAAGCAUCAUAACAGUGCACUGCACAAUUCAGAUGCUCAAUAACAUUUGUCAAAUUGAAUCAGAGAAGAAAAUAAUUGAAAAAAAUGAAGAUAUCUUUAAUAAGAGGCAAUGUUGCUUAAGAAAGACAUUAAUACUUUGGAGGACUAUUCUCUUAUAUAAAGUCUUUGCUGUUAAAAAAAUUGAGUGACAGGGGCACCUGGCUGUGUCAAUCGGUAGAGCAUGUGACUCUUGAUCUUACGGUCGUGAGCUUAAGUCCCAUAUUGGUUGUAGAGCUUCCUUAACAAAUAACAGUAGAGUGAGAGACAGGCAGUAGCACACAGGGCAGAUUCCUUCUUAACUCUUCUUAGCAGGUGAUUUUCAUUUGGCCUUUACCCUGAAACCCAAGUGGGCCUUCCCUUUAAAAUGUUUUGUUUGAAUAAGCUGAGAUUUCUUAAAAUUCAUAUCUUGAGAGAUUUUAUUGUUUAAGCAGAAGAGAGAACUCUGAACUCACACAUUAUCACAUUAUAUGGUUUUGAUAUGUGGUGGGCUCCACAUAUAUUACUAAUUGGCUUAUGACGAAAUCUAAACCUAUCAGGACAGAAGAAGCAGUAGAACAUAUUAAGUGAAAGCUUGGCUCUGGAGCAGGACUGCCAGAGCCUGAAUUAGGCAAAUUAACUUCUCUGUGCCUCAGUUCCCUCUUGCAUCCAGUGGAGAUUGUAAUGGACCUACUUCACAAGCUUAUUAUGAAGGUUAGACAGAUUGAUGUAUGCAAAGUUCUUGAACAGGCUAGGCACAUGGUAAGCAUUCAGUAAUUAUUCUGUGUUAUUAUUAUUUUCAAUUACUACUUUCAACUGGGAUGGCAAAUCCCUGUCUCCUGUACCUUAAUGACACCCCUGGAAGAUUCUAUGGCUUGACUACUACAAUUCAGUUCAAUCUGGUUUCAAACAUCAGUCUCAUGAUUGGUUCAAAGUUCUCUGCCUGACCCAAUACAAGCUAGACUUACUGGCAGGAGGACACUGUUUGACUUUUUCAAUCAUCCUCCUGUUGUAGUGACCUAGAGGGUGCCUGGAGGGGGGGGUGGCGUUGGAUCAUGUUCUGGGGCACUGGGUCCCCUUCCCAGUUCUUAGGACUGGGUCAGGAAGAGAGAUGAGACAGUCAGAGCUCUCCUUAUAUAGCUAGCUUCCUCUUGUUAGGAAUGCAUCCCUGAAACUCACUGCUGUGGUUCUCUUUUGUUCUGCUCCUGCUGUGGCCUCUGAUGAAAUGGUAGCCUCCACUGGAUGGGUGCACACUGUUUAGUUUUACCCUAGGUACCUCUUUAGCAUUAGAUUACUGAAGCACAGUGGAUGCUGGAGAGGAGACUGGAAAUGAUGCUUGAUUUUGUUGUUUUAUUGUUCUGACAAGAGGGACAGCUUACAAUUAGAACACUCUUAUUUCCCACCAUGCCUGCUGAAUAAGCCUCCAGGGAGGAUGUAUAAUAAAGCUCAGUGUGGCUGAAGCAGAUCACAGACCAGAAGCCCAGAUGCUACUCAAAGGGUUUCUGGAUCUCAAGUACCUUUAUAUUUUUAUUUUAAAGCUUUUUAAAAUGUUUAUUUGACACAGAAAGAGAGAGAGAGAGAGAGUGAAAGGGGGAGGGGCAGAGAGAGAGGAGGACAGAGGAUCCAAAGCCUGAUCCUGGGCUCGAAUUCAUGAACCAGAAGACAAUGACCUGAGCUCAAGUUGGAUGCUCAACUGACUGAGCCGUCCAGUUGCCCCAUGGAUCAAUUACUUUAAAGAGAGUGAUAACCCAAAAAUAACAUUUAUUGAAUAUCUACUAAAGCUAGGUACUUAUGCCUAAAGCUAGGUAUACAUUAUCUAUUGUAUAUGAUAAGGAUUACUAAUUCUAUUUUACAGAUGAGGAAAGUGAAGGUAAGAGGAAUGAAAUCAAUUGCCAUUAUUUUUGAGGGCCUUGCUCCUUACAUAAAAUUUCCACACUGAUCCAAAAAGAUUUCAGAGAGGAGAGGUGUUUGAGUGGCUCAGUUAAGCCUCUGACUCUUGAUUUCAGCUCAGUUCUUGAUCUCACUUGUUCGUGAGAGGGUUUGUGAGAUGGAGCCCUGAGUUGGGGUCUGCACUUGCUGUGGAGCCUGCUUGGGAUUCUCUCUCCCUCUCCCUCUGCCCCUCUCCACUCACAGACUCAGUCUCUCUAUCUCUUAAAAAAAAAAAAAAAAGAUUUCAAAGAGGCCAUAUUACCAAAGUCGUAUUUUGGACAUUUAGGAUAAAGCUGUGAUUGCUAAUGUUAAUUUUUUUAAUGAUGCAAAUAUACAUCUUUACUUGGUAUUAAUUCAUCACAAGUAUAAAGGCCAUAAAAUAUCUUAA
Acinonyx jubatus (cheetah) is the source of this 4578-nucleotide long non-coding RNA. RefSeq lists it as uncharacterized. NCBI's taxonomy places the organism in Eukaryota, Metazoa, Chordata, Mammalia, Carnivora, Felidae. The record is from RefSeq and is a predicted model, not a curated record. The transcript has 3 exons.